AUUGAACGCUGGCGGCAUGCCUAACACAUGCAAGUCGAACGGAAACGAUGGGAGCUUGCUCCCAGGCGUCGAGUGGCGGACGGGUGAGUAAUACUUAGGAAUCUGCCCAUUAGUGGGGGACAACUAGAAGAAAUUCUAGCUAAUACCGCAUACGCCCUACGGGGGAAAGCGGGGGAUCUUCGGACCUCGCGCUAUUGGAUGAGCCUAAGUCGGAUUAGCUUGUUGGUGAGGUAAAGGCUCACCAAGGCGACGAUCCGUAGCUGGUCUGAGAGGACGAUCAGCCACACUGGGACUGAGACACGGCCCAGACUCCUACGGGAGGCAGCAGUGGGGAAUAUUGGACAAUGGGCGCAAGCCUGAUCCAGCAAUGCCGCGUGUGUGAAGAAGGCCUGCGGGUUGUAAAGCACUUUCAGUAGAGAAGAAAAGCUUACGGUUAAUACCCGUGGGUCUUGACGUUACCUACAGAAGAAGCUCCGGCUAACUCCGUG
Molecule: ribosomal RNA, 488 nt
Filed under: uncultured bacterium
Lineage: Bacteria
Description: bacterial SSU rRNA
Rfam family: Bacterial small subunit ribosomal RNA
Source: RNAcentral